GAUGAACGCUAGCAGAACGCCUAACACAUGCAAGUCGAACGAACCAGCAAUGGUUAGUGGCAAACGGGCGAGUAACGCGUAUCUAACCUACCCUUGAGUGAGGCACAACUACAGAGAUGUAGCUAAUUCCUCAUACGUUCUAGAGAAUGAAAAUAUCUAGAAGAAAGAUUUAUCGCUCAGGGAGGGGGGUGCGUCCUAUCGAGGUAGUUGGUGAGGUAAUAGCUCACCAAGCCUAUGACGGGUAGCCGGUCUGAGAGGAUGUCCGGCCGCAAUGGAACUGAGAACGGUCCAUACUCCUACGGGAGGCAGCAGUGGGGAAUAUUGGACAAUGGGCGAAAGCCUGAUCCAGCGAUUCUGCGUGAAGGAUGAAGCCUUAUGGGGUGUAAACUUCUUUUCUGGGGGAAGACGAAUGACGGUACCUCAGGAAUAAGAGACGGCUAAC
Molecule: ribosomal RNA, 442 nt
Filed under: uncultured bacterium
Lineage: Bacteria
Description: bacterial SSU rRNA
Rfam family: Bacterial small subunit ribosomal RNA
Source: RNAcentral